UACGGAGGGGGCAAGCGUUGUUCGGAAUUACUGGGCGUAAAGGGCGCGUAGGCGGAUUUGUAAGUUACUUGUGAAAUCUUGAAGCUCAACUUCAAACGGUCCAGUAAUACUGCAGAGCUUGAGUGCAGAAGGGGCAACUGGAAUUCUUGGUGUAGAGGUGAAAUGCGUAGAUAUCAAGAGGAACACCUGAGGCGAAGGCGGGUUGCUGGGCUGGCACUGACGCUGAGGCGCGAAAGCUAGGGGAGCAAACAGG
Molecule: ribosomal RNA, 253 nt
Filed under: uncultured bacterium
Lineage: Bacteria
Description: partial 16S ribosomal RNA
Rfam family: Bacterial small subunit ribosomal RNA
Source: RNAcentral